GCGGGCGCCUUCGGGCGUCAGCGGCUGACGGGUGAGUAACGCGCGUUAACGUGCCCUUUCCUCCGGAAUACCCUCUGGAAACGGAUAUUAAUGCCGGAUACGCCGUCUCGUGGUGACACGGGAUGGGAAAGAUUUAUCGGGGAAGGAUCGGCCCGCGUCAGAUUAUGUAGUUGGUGGGGUAACGGCCUACCAUUCCGACGAUCCGUAGCUGGUUUGAGAGGAUGAUCAGCCACACUGGGACUGAGACACGGCCCAGACUCCUACGGGAGGCAGCUGUGGGGAAUCUUGGACUAUGGGGGCAACCCUGAUCCAGCCAUGCCUCGUGAGCGAUGAAGGCCUUAGGGUUGUAAAGCUCUUUCAGCGGGGAAGAUAAUGACGGUACCCGCAGAAUAAGCCCCGGCUAUCUCCGUGCCAGCAGCCGCGGUUCUACGGAGGGGGCUAGCGUUGUUCGGAAUUACUGGGCGUAUAGCGCACGUAGGCUGACCAUCAAGUUGGGGGUGAAAUCCUGGGGCUCAUUCCCCGGAACUGCCUUCAUAUCUGU
RNAcentral lists this ribosomal RNA (541 nucleotides) under uncultured bacterium. RNAcentral describes it as "bacterial SSU rRNA". It matches the Rfam family "Bacterial small subunit ribosomal RNA", at positions 66 to 636 of the family's 1533-position model. The record is from RNAcentral.